Molecule: long non-coding RNA, 620 nt
Organism: Malaclemys terrapin pileata
Lineage: Eukaryota; Metazoa; Chordata; Testudines; Emydidae
Exons: 4
Source: RefSeq, a predicted model, not a curated record
GGAAGUCACCGGCUCGCGCGAGCACAGCUCGUGCCCGAGAGAGUAGCCGAGGGUGAUAGAUGGGGCGCGCGAACCAGGACCAGCAGGUAGCAGGAAAGCUGAUAACUCCUCUGAGCGUUUCAGUUCUCUGCAAAUGAUUCUUCAACCAUCUUUCCGGAGUUUGACCUUGCUAUAGUGUCCUUCACUCAUGCCACACAGUGGCAGGGUCCAGCAGCAGAUAACCACAGAAGAUCAGGGAUGAACGCUCCUGUUCUUCAAAGAUACCACUGAGUUUCAUAGCUGCAGUUUUGCAUCCCAUGGUUUAAGCAAAGCUGAAACCUUGUCUGUAGGCGCAUCCUCCACACCGGGACAGAGACUUUUCCAGAUUAGAAGGCAGAAAAAGAAGAUUUGAGAGGACAUGGUUAAUGAGUUAAUGAGUGACAAGACCAAGCUCAGCUCAUAGAAUAUUACACUGUCCGACAGCCUGCACAAAGACAGGAGAGCAUGCAGGGAACAUGAGCGUGACACGCAGGACGAGAUGGUGCAGAGCAAACAGAUCUGUGGAGGCAUCUGGUUGAGGUUCAAGAAAGGCAGUUGGACACUAGAGUUGCUCUGCAGCCUAUGCUGAACUUGUUGCCAAG